RNAcentral lists this transfer-messenger RNA (354 nucleotides) under Inconstantimicrobium porci. Its description in RNAcentral is "Standard tmRNA". It matches the Rfam family "transfer-messenger RNA". From Rfam's summary of the family: Bacterial tmRNA, also known as 10Sa RNA or SsrA, is named for its dual tRNA and mRNA-like properties. Its role is to liberate the mRNA from a stalled ribosome. Lineage: Bacteria; Bacillati; Bacillota; Clostridia; Eubacteriales; Clostridiaceae. The record is from RNAcentral.
GGGGGCGAUUUGGCUUCGACGGGGGUAAGGCUGGUCCGAUAAGCGAGCUAGGGAACGCAUGGAACCCUAUGAAUCUCUAUGCAUUAAAUGUAAACGCAGAAGAUAAUAAUUUUGCAUUAGCUGCCUAGGCAGCUCGUUCUACCUGAGAGUCCCACGACUUAGGAUAGGGCGUCGAUUAGUGGGGAACCGAGCUUAUGAAAGCUUUGACUUAAGAACGGAAUUUAUGAAGCUACUAAAGUAAGUAUCCUGCCUCUGGGAGACUUAUGGAGGGAAUGUUAAAUCAGCAGGCUGUGCUCGGAGAAAGUUGGGUGGGCCUACCUUCGGACACGGGUUCGAUACCCGUCACCUCCACCA